GGGACGACUGCGAAAAAUGCAGCACAAGGUCCUCUGAUAGGAAUCGCAGGGCCGUAGGUUCAUUUCCUACCAGAGGACCUUGUGCUGCAUUUUUUUGCAGUUGUUCC
RNAcentral lists this microRNA precursor (107 nucleotides) under Paramuricea clavata. The record is from RNAcentral. Lineage: Eukaryota; Metazoa; Cnidaria; Anthozoa; Malacalcyonacea; Plexauridae.